AACGCUGGCGGCGUGCCUAAUACAUGCAAGUCGAGCGAACGGACGAGAAGCUUGCUUCUCUGAUGUUAGCGGCGGACGGGUGAGUAACACGUGGAUAACCUACCUAUAAGACUGGGAUAACUUCGGGAAACCGGAGCUAAUACCGGAUAAUAUUUUGAACCGCAUGGUUCAAAAGUGAAAGACGGUCUUGCUGUCACUUAUAGAUGGAUCCGCGCUGCAUUAGCUAGUUGGUAAGGUAACGGCUUACCAAGGCAACGAUGCAUAGCCGACCUGAGAGGGUGAUCGGCCACACUGGAACUGAGACACGGUCCAGACUCCUACGGGAGGCAGCAGUAGGGAAUCUUCCGCAAUGGGCGAAAGCCUGACGGAGCAACGCCGCGUGAGUGAUGAAGGUCUUCGGAUCGUAAAACUCUGUUAUUAGGGAAGAACAUAUGUGUAAGUAACUGUGCACAUCUUGACGGUACCUAAUCAGAAAGCCACGGCUAACUACGUGCCAGCAGCCGCGGUAAUACGUAGGUGGCAAGCGUUAUCCGGAAUUAUUGGGCGUAAAGCGCGCGUAGGCGGUUUUUUAAGUCUGAUGUGAAAGCCCACGGCUCAACCGUGGAGGGUCAUUGGAAACUGGAAAACUUGAGUGCAGAAGAGGAAAGUGGAAUUCCAUGUGUAGCGGUGAAAUGCGCAGAGAUAUGGAGGAACACCAGUGGCGAAGGCGACUUUCUGGUCUGUAACUGACGCUGAUGUGCGAAAGCGUGGGGAUCAAACAGGAUUAGAUACCCUGGUAGUCCACGCCGUAAACGAUGAGUGCUAAGUGUUAGGGGGUUUCCGCCCCUUAGUGCUGCAGCUAACGCAUUAAGCACUCCGCCUGGGGAGUACGACCGCAAGGUUGAAACUCAAAGGAAUUGACGGGGACCCGCACAAGCGGUGGAGCAUGU
Molecule: ribosomal RNA, 929 nt
Filed under: Staphylococcus aureus
Lineage: Bacteria; Bacillati; Bacillota; Bacilli; Caryophanales; Staphylococcaceae
Description: bacterial SSU rRNA
Rfam family: Bacterial small subunit ribosomal RNA
Source: RNAcentral